This is a long non-coding RNA of Vidua macroura (Pin-tailed whydah), 996 nucleotides long. RefSeq lists it as uncharacterized. Lineage: Eukaryota; Metazoa; Chordata; Aves; Passeriformes; Viduidae. The transcript is spliced from 7 exons. The record is from RefSeq and is a predicted model, not a curated record.
CAGCUCUGCGGAGAGCGGGGGCAGCGCCCCGUUGGAAAGGGAGCGGUGCGCAACUCGAGCUGAGCCUGAUGACGAGGGCCACGUCACAGACAGGAGAGAGAUGCUGUCCUGUGCUCUUGCUAUGAACCAGGAAGCUGAAGGAAAGGCAACAGGAUGGAACAAAGAGACCCAGGAUGUUUGUGAGACCUACUAAAGGACCUCUGAGAACAUCCUCAUGCACCUGCUUCCCUGCUUAUUUUACAAAACAACACACAGAAAAUCACUGAAACUCCCGUUGCCUUUACAUUUAUGUAUUUUGAAUAGAAAAACUGUCUGCAACUCUAGACUUUUUCCAUCUGAUUUUUUAUCUCUAAAAGGUAACAUACAGCUAAUCUCAUCCCAGACACUUGUACAUGAGAGGAAUCAAGGUGAAGAAAGAAUGCAAUAACCUUUAGAGAUGUUUUAUUUGUUGUACUGCUCAGAUGAUGCAGCAAGGUUUUAAAGUAUGUGGGCUAAUUAUCAAAUUGAUGUUGUCCACCUGAAUCUCUUCUUAUCAGUAAUUUAAAACACGUGGUAGAAGAAUUACCAUAAGAGGUUAACAAAAGCCAAGGGAGAUAUACAGAAAGUACACUAGAGCUAAAAGACAAGAGAAACUUAGCUGAUCUUUCCAUUCAUCAAAAGGAUCAUGGCAGAUGGAAUAUUUUCUCUCAAAGCUUAAGGCAGGAGUUGUAGCUAUAAGUGGAUUGCACUUGCUGUCAGAGGAGGCUGUUGACUUCCAGAAGAUCUGUGCUUCCAUAUUACCUUCUCCCAGGUAAUUUUUAUAUGGUGUGCACAAAUACAUACAGCUGCUUUCUACCUGGAAAAAUAUUGCUUUGCCAUCAAGCCUCCAGAAGUUUGUGACUGGAUAACCACUGUGUCCUCGACAAGGAAUCAACUCGAGGGCAGAGUUACAGUUGGGGCAGGCUUUCUCUGUGAACAGAAAGAAACUACUGAAGAGAUUGGUUAAGGACAAGGAUG